This 310-nucleotide ribosomal RNA is filed under the name uncultured eukaryote. RNAcentral's name for it is "partial 18S ribosomal RNA". It matches the Rfam family "Eukaryotic small subunit ribosomal RNA", at positions 1470 to 1796 of the family's 1831-position model. The record is from RNAcentral.
CCCUUAGAUGUUCUGGGCGGCCCGCGCACUACAAUGGCGCUUUCAGCGAGUUCCUAUGUUGAAUUUUCCUUGGUAUUCUUGGAAGCGGCGCCUUGACUUGGGAUAGAUCCUUGUAAUUGUUGGUUUUGAACGAGGAAUUCCUUGUAAUCGCGGUUGAUCAGCUCGCGUUGAAUACGUCCCUGCCCUUUGUACACACCGCCCGUCGCUCCUACCGAUGAAUCGUCCGGUGAAGUUCACAGAGUGGCGGUUCGUGGAGUUGCUCGCGAAGUGAAAUGGACCUCACGAUUUAGAGGAAGGAGAAGUCGUAACA